AUUGAACGCUGGCGGCAUGCUUUACACAUGCAAGUCGAACGGCAGCGCGGGCUUCGGCCUGGCGGCGAGUGGCGAACGGGUGAGUAAUACAUCGGAACGUGCCCAGUAGUGGGGGAUAGCUCGGCGAAAGCCGGAUUAAUACCGCAUACGACCUGAGGGUGAAAGCGGGGGAUCUUCGGACCUCGCGCUAUUGGAGCGGCCGAUGGCAGAUUAGCUAGUUGGUGGGGUAAAGGCCUACCAAGGCGACGAUCUGUAGCUGGUCUGAGAGGACGACCAGCCACACUGGGACUGAGACACGGCCCAGACUCCUACGGGAGGCAGCAGUGGGGAAUUUUGGACAAUGGGUGAAAGCCUGAUCCAGCAAGGCCGCGUGUGAUGAAGGCCUUCGGGUUGUAAAGCACUUUUGGCGGGAACGAAAAGGACUGUGCCAAUACCACGGUUCGAUGACGGUACCCGCAGAAUAAGCACCGGCUAACUACGUG
RNAcentral lists this ribosomal RNA (482 nucleotides) under uncultured bacterium. RNAcentral's name for it is "partial 16S ribosomal RNA". It matches the Rfam family "Bacterial small subunit ribosomal RNA", at positions 29 to 507 of the family's 1533-position model. The record is from RNAcentral.